RNAcentral lists this ribosomal RNA (538 nucleotides) under uncultured bacterium. Its description in RNAcentral is "bacterial SSU rRNA". It matches the Rfam family "Bacterial small subunit ribosomal RNA", at positions 8 to 522 of the family's 1533-position model. The record is from RNAcentral.
AGAGUUUGAUCAUGGCUCAGAGCGAACGCUGGCGGCGUACUUAACACAUGCAAGUCGAACGGGGAUCGUCGGGUUAGCAAUAAUUCGGCGGUUCUAGUGGCGCACGGGUGAGUAACACGUGGGUAACCUGCCCUUGAGUUCGGGAUACCCCCUCGAAAGGGGGGCUAAUACCGGAUACGUUCCUCGGGUCGAGAGAUCUGGGGAGGAAAGGUGGCGCAAGCUGCCGCUCUUGGAGGGGCUCGCGGCCUAUCAGCUAGUUGGCGGGGUAACGGCCCACCAAGGCUAUGACGGGUAGCUGGUCUGAGAGGACGACCAGCCACACGGGGACUGAGACACGGCCCCGACUCCUACGGGAGGCAGCAGUGGGGAAUUUUCCGCAAUGGGCGAAAGCCUGACGGAGUGACGCCGCGUGUGGGACGAAGGCCUUCGGGUCGUAAACCACUGUCAGUGGGAAAGAAGGGUGUCGGCGCGAUAACCGCCGGCAUUUGACGGUACCUGCAGAGGAAGCCCCGGCCACUCUGUGCCAGCAGCCGCGGUA